UACGGGGGGGGCAAGCGUUGUUCGGAAUUACUGGGCGUAAAGGGCUCGUAGGCGGCCAACUAAGUCAUACGUGAAAUCCCUCGGCUUAACCGGGGAACUGCGUCUGAUACUGGAUGGCUUGAGUUCGGGAGAGGGAUGCGGAAUUCCAGGUGUAGCGGUGAAAUGCGUAGAUAUCGGGAGGAACACCAGUGGCGAAGGCGGCGAUCUGGGAAGAUACUGACGCUGAGGUGCGAAAGCGUGGGGAGCAAACAGG
RNAcentral lists this ribosomal RNA (253 nucleotides) under uncultured bacterium. RNAcentral describes it as "partial 16S ribosomal RNA". It matches the Rfam family "Bacterial small subunit ribosomal RNA", at positions 524 to 776 of the family's 1533-position model. The record is from RNAcentral.